This is a long non-coding RNA of Marmota monax (woodchuck), 1073 nucleotides long. RefSeq lists it as uncharacterized. Lineage: Eukaryota; Metazoa; Chordata; Mammalia; Rodentia; Sciuridae. The transcript has 3 exons. The record is from RefSeq and is a predicted model, not a curated record.
CUUCUUACAUAAGAAUUUCUCCCUGGUAGAACUCUAACCUCAGUGCACUUUGAGCUUCCCAAAGCGGGCACCAGGAAACUGAACCCUGAAACAAGGCAAAACUUUGGUCUGGGGUCCUCAGAACAAGCUGGGACAUUGUAGAGCAACUCCCAGCUCCAAAGCUGCUCAGCUGAGAGAUUAGGGACAUCUCUUAGCCUCCUCAGGCUGCUAUUUCCUAGAAUUCCAGGCUCUGACAUUUGGAAGUGAUCAUCCAGUCCUCUUCUGAUGUCUAAAUUAGUUUUGCUUUGUGUCUGCAUGGUGACCCAGGCUCCCACACACAACUAUGGUCAGGAAACUCACUACAUUUUGGUGCAGCAAUUUUUGGAUAUAAUAUUCUUCCAGUAAAUGAAUUCCAUAUACCUCAAAUCCUUGGCUCUCAUUAUGUCUCCAUUUUAUCCAUUCCUUCUUCAAACAUUUACCCACAUACCUGGUGCAUACAGUUUCUGUCUGUCCAAAGACCCUCUUGACCAAUGUCCUGAGUGGAGAGCUCAGCAUGUUAUCCCUGUUACAGUGCUGCCCCCUGCUGGACACUGAUUUCUGGCACUUGUUACCUGGUAUCUGCUGACUCAAGAGGCAUCCUGGAGUGGCUCCUCUAGUCCUGGUCCUGCCUCCAUGCCCAGGGACCCUGUGAUCCUCAGAUGUGAAGAUGGGGUAUUCUCAGUGAUCCUGACUGUUGGGAGUCGCCCUGGCUCCAAAGACUAACUUCCCCAUCCCCGGAAAAGGGUCAUCCAAUGGUGAGCCCUGUUGGCUCACAUGAUCCUUACCCACCAAUCAGACUAGACCUGCUGACUCACAUGAUCUUUACCCACCAAUCAGACUAGCCCUGCUGGCUCACAUGAUUCUUACCCACCAAUCAGACUAGCCCUGCUGGCUCACAUGAUCCUUACCCACUAAUCAGACUAGCCCUGCUUACUCACAUGAUCCUUACCCACCAAUCAGAAAGCACCCCGUGCCAACCGUCAAACCAUUAAACUGUUAAACUAUCAUACCUGUCAUAACCCCCGGAUCUAUAAAUAUGCAGAGCUGUUCCUCAA